Molecule: small RNA, 74 nt
Filed under: Methylobacterium nodulans ORS 2060
Lineage: Bacteria; Pseudomonadati; Pseudomonadota; Alphaproteobacteria; Hyphomicrobiales; Methylobacteriaceae
Description: Makes More Granules Regulator RNA (mmgR)
Rfam family: Makes More Granules Regulator RNA (mmgR)
About the family: SuhB later renamed mmgR (makes more granules regulator) was a putative non-coding RNA found multiple times in the Agrobacterium tumefaciens genome and related alpha-proteobacteria. Other non-coding RNAs uncovered in the same analysis include: speF, ybhL, metA, and serC.
Source: Rfam by way of RNAcentral
CCCUGCUGCCCUCGAUGGGCGUUUCCUCCCUAGACUUCGGGCCGCUCGCAAGGGCGGCCUUUCUUUCGUCCGGC